Pongo pygmaeus (Bornean orangutan) is the source of this 2661-nucleotide long non-coding RNA. RefSeq lists it as uncharacterized. The transcript has 3 exons. NCBI's taxonomy places the organism in Eukaryota, Metazoa, Chordata, Mammalia, Primates, Hominidae. The record is from RefSeq and is a predicted model, not a curated record.
AGAAUGCUGUGGAAAAGUUUCUGAGAAGGGAGGGAAAUGGAGGGAAGUGAGACAUGACUAAGGUGUAGGUAAAAAGGAAUAAAGGUGUUCCCUGCUCAAAACUCUCAUGAAGAAAUUAAUGGAGAAGGAAAGCACAAAGCAUGCUGGAAAGAAAGCAAGAACUUGUUGUCAAGGAGCCUCUUGUUCAUGACUUAGGGGCUGAAUAUGUGCCCCCAUCUCCUAGACUGCAGCCCUGAAUUAGAGUUUCUUCAUUCAAUUAGUGGAAAACUCCAGUCUUCAAUCAAACCUAUCAGCCAAAGAGGUUAAAUUUCUGAGGGAAAAUGUCUGACUUCAUUUUUAGAGUCAAUCAACUUGGUACUACAUAUGCCUUCUAUGAGCUCCUUGCUGCUGAGUGAGAAUUCUGAGAUGUUAACCACCUUGCCCUGGCAUGGUGCCUUGCCUGGACAUGCUUUCUGGACAAAGCUUUUGUCCUCAGGAAGGAAACAUUCUUGAGCUGUCCUUUUGUUGAGUGCCCAAGAGGUUUUACACACUGGGUCAGAGCACUAUCCAGAUAGCUGAGAACGGUGCUUGCCUUUUCCCCCUGUUUCCUGUAGAGUAGAAAAAGAGCAAUUAACAAAGGGGAAUGGAGAAGAAGAACUGACAGAGGGAUCCUUGAGCAGAAUAAUCUUAGGGACAAAUACAGAUGGAAGUUAAGAAUCUAGAAAUGUAUUUUCUUAUAGCUAUCCAGGCUCUCUGGAAAAUAUUCCCAUGUCCAUAGGGAUAUAUAUGCCCAGUGAUGAUAAAUCUCUAAAGAAGACACGAAGAAAUAAGAGAAAGGAAAGAUGAGAGACAAGAUACCAACUCCCAAAGAAAAUUGCUGAGUUUCUCAACCCUUCAAGGGCCAUUUGAGAGCAACUUGGUGUUGUGCAAGUCACUGUAUGCAGUAUGCAGAGCAGAUAGAAUUUGCUGCGGGAUGUGAAGCUCACCAAGUGACCAAGGGAUCUAACUGGAACCAGCAGAGAAGAGCCCUUUAGAAGUAGAAGUGAGAGAAUGUUCCUAACUGAUUCACAGACACAGCACUUCCCAGCACUCCCAGUGAGCGCCAGAAAACCCGGGGGUCCAAACCUAAAAGACAGGGGACAUCAACAAGGCUGAGAUGAUCCAUUUUGCCCAAAGAUUUGUAAUCUCUUUAUGUGGGCUACCCAUACAAUGUCUGAAACAUGUUUUAUGGCAUUCUGUCAAAUUCUUUGUUGUAGGAUUGCUGGUUUUUCAGAUACCCUCAAGAGUCCUGAGAAAGUUGAACAGGCCACCUGGCAAGGCUCUGCAAAACUAAUUAGUGAGGGAAAGUAUUGAAAAAUCACUCAGAUGGCAGUGUGGCAAUUACAAACCAUUGAAAGUGUGAGGCAGAUGGUGAAGUUCGUAUGUUGUCUUACUUGUCAGUUCAACAAAACCACACCAAUUGCCCACCAUGUGCAAAGCACAACUAAUAAUGAAAAGGCAGGUAUGCAAAUUCAUAAAAUGCAAUACAGGAAGUCUGAUUUUACUGGACAAACAUUAUCAGCAUGAGCAAUUCACAAGUGUGACCCUGCCAUCUUAGCCGUCUAAUCUUCCACCACUGCUCAGCAUUUUCUCACUUCUGGACAUUCCUCAAACCCUUCCUCCACCUGAAUAUUCUACCGGGUCCUUGGCUUCCUCUUCCCAUGGGGGUGAAAUCAUGUGCAUGCUGCUUGACACAUAAACACAUCUGGUCACAUUAAUUCCAUGCACAUUGCUGUGGGUUCAUGCACCACACUGCAUCAUAUUUGUCUUCCUAUAUCCCCCAGCAGUUCAUGGAGAAUAACAUGUCAAGGACCAUGUCUUACUCUUCUUUAUACAUUGAAUGUUUGACAAUGUCUGACACACUGCUGGCGUAAUAGGAUCAAAUCCCACUUUCAAAGCCAAAUGAAGUGUGCCUGAUUGCCCCUUAAUCUUGAGGAUUCCUUUCCUCUUCUCCCACACCACUCUUGAUAUAUCUAAGGACUGCUCUCAAACACUGCAUAUAUGGUAGUUACUUGUGUAGUCUACUAAUCCAACUACACUCUUGGGAAAAAGAAAUAUAUUUUGCUUUUCUUUGUAACCUCCACAGCAUCCACCAGAAAAGGGAACAAGACCUUCUGCUUACAUAGCCCAAGCUAACAAAGCCAAGCAGCCCUUCCCACUGCUCCAAUCUUUGCCUGCACCUGUCUCUCCUAUGGUCACUAAAUUACAGCCACUUAGACUUCUGUUCUGACCCUUAAGCCCUGCUCAAACUCACUGGCAUCCCAGGGCCUUCACAAUUGUUGCUCUGUCUGACUGGAACAUCGGCCCCUUGCUCCUCAUAGCUCAGCUCUUUUGAUUCCUUCAACACUAAGCUUAAAUAGUAUUUCCUAAAGAAUCAUCCUCAACCAUUCUCACAUCAGUAGCCCUACCACAGGCUCAUCAUGUCUUUUAUAUCACCUGGCUUUUUUCUCUUGUUUAUUUAUUACUCGCAUGCUGCUCCCCUUAACACACACACACACACACACACUAGAAUGUAUGGUCAGCCAGGAGAGUCCUGGUCUGUCCAUUGUCACUGCUUUACCCCCAGUACAGUGCCUAGAAAAAAGUGGGUGUAUAAUAAAUAUUAUCAAUUGAAUAAAUAAAUUAUAAAAUAUUAGGUAAUUC